RNAcentral lists this long non-coding RNA (337 nucleotides) under Chinchilla lanigera (long-tailed chinchilla). Its description in RNAcentral is "lncRNA (ENSCLAG00000028739.1)". The record is from RNAcentral. Lineage: Eukaryota; Metazoa; Chordata; Mammalia; Rodentia; Chinchillidae.
ACCCAGCUAGCGCACCGGAGCUGUAGCGCCCUCACCAGAACACCGACUGCUUCUCCUAUGGCCUCGCCAUUCUCUAUGAAACCAGUCAUAACAAGUUCACAGAAAAGGAAAGAGGGGAGGGAUAAGAGCCUGUCUCUUGGCCUCCAAACAAACCCAGACACAGAUUUACUCCAAACCACACAACAAUGAUGAGACUGUCUCUGAUGCGUGGCUGUGGGGCUCUGCUCUGGUUCUUCAGCAGCUCCAUUAAAAGAAGAAGAAAAGAACAAGGUGGUGGAGGAGAAGGAGGACAAGCAGAAGCAGAGGCAGAAGCAGGAGCAGGAGAAGAAGAAAAAGA